Molecule: small RNA, 31 nt
Filed under: Bombyx mori (domestic silkworm)
Lineage: Eukaryota; Metazoa; Arthropoda; Insecta; Lepidoptera; Bombycidae
Description: ovarian small RNA-17376
Source: RNAcentral
GGCAGACGAGCGUACGGCCCACCUGAUGGUU